CCACCCGAUGUGUACCUACCUCUGUUGCUUCGGCGGGACGCGGGCCUCCGCGGCCGUGCCCCCUAACCGGGGCUGGCCAGCGCCCUCCUGAAGACUACCACAAUCCUUUCAACACACGUACCUGUCUGAUCAUCAGUUAAAUAACUAAAACUUUCAACAACGUAUCUCUUGGAUCUGGCAUCUAUGAAGAACGCACCCAAGUGCCACCAGUCAUGUAAAAUGCCAAAUUCAUGGAAUCAUCAAAGCUUUGAACGCACAUUGCGCCCCUUGGCAUUCCGAGGGGCAUGCCUGCUCUAGCGACCUUUCCCCGCUCACGCUCUGGUUGGAAGUGCGCGCCGUCCUUCACCGGACGCGCCUCAUACACCUCUGCGGUGGAGUCGUGCCACCAGCGUAGAAGAAAACACCUCGCUUUGGAUGACGGGACGUUCGCUCGCCCGACCAUCCUUCAGAAUUUUCUCGAGGUAUGACCUCGGAUCACGUACGCAUACCCGCUGAGCUUGAGCAUAAAUACACCGGGGAGUAACCGAGGGGAGAAAAGGGUCUGGGUUAGAGCUGGACGCACCGUGUUUUGCUGGUUGGAGUGCUUCUGAACCCCGCCCAUGCCCGCACACGUUGGGAAGGGAACGAUGUAGUAUAUUCUACACAUCAAUUCCAUCGGCCUCAGAUUGGUAGACUACCCGCUGACUUAACAUA
RNAcentral lists this ribosomal RNA (693 nucleotides) under Endomelanconiopsis sp. NM21. RNAcentral describes it as "eukaryotic LSU rRNA". The stretch from base 149 to 302 matches the Rfam family "5.8S ribosomal RNA". The record is from RNAcentral. Lineage: Eukaryota; Fungi; Ascomycota; Dothideomycetes; Botryosphaeriales; Botryosphaeriaceae.